ACGGGACAAUGCUGUUGUAACAAAAAAGAGUUCAGAGCUCUCAAACUCUUGAGUUUACAGUGGGGGAAACCUUAAAUAGGAAUUACCUAGUAUUCUAGAUGAGUGUGGCACUAUUGAAAGGGAAACUCACUAGAAAGAUCCUUCCGGUUCAAUAGUUGCAAUGCACCUGAGUGACUGGAAGGGCUGGAGCCAGGAUCUACCCCUUUCCAGGACUCAUUUAAGGGAUGGCAGUGGAUGCAAAGGUAUCUUUCUGGAGAUCCCUGCAUAUGUGAGGCCUUCUGAAGGGAAAGUUCAAGCCCACGUUUCCAAUCACAGUAUAGCUCCUAACCACUAGAUUGCAAGCUACAGAUCUCAAGACCAGCCAAAGACCGUUUAAUCUAGCAGCGAAGAUUUUAAUUGCUUCCAACCAAGAAGGGAGCUGCACUCCAGGCUUCUCCAUCUGUACAAAUGCUCAAAUCAGUUGGCUGCUCCACAAACACUGGACACAACCUCUGGCCUUUCCCAAAACAAACCCCGAACCUUGGUCAGUCCAUUGAGGGAUACUCAGAGGUCUCUCCUUCUGACCAUGGGCUUGAGAUGGAGUCACUACAGCUGCAGGCUGGAGCAUGCACAGAUUUGGACUUGUUGCUCCCUAUAGUUCCUUUACAACUUGGGAUACUCCAUGAUUCAACCUGGUCAGGGUGGGAAAGCCUUCACUGAGCUCACCACUUGCUACCACCAAGCUCCUGUCCUUGGGGAUUUCACUCACCAUCCCAAAGGUAUUUCACGCAAAAUAAGUAGCCC
This 783-nucleotide long non-coding RNA is filed under the name Gallus gallus (chicken). Its description in RNAcentral is "lncRNA (ENSGALG00010011051.1)". The record is from RNAcentral. Lineage: Eukaryota; Metazoa; Chordata; Aves; Galliformes; Phasianidae.